Molecule: ribosomal RNA, 407 nt
Filed under: uncultured prokaryote
Also listed under: 1 other name
Description: bacterial SSU rRNA
Rfam family: Bacterial small subunit ribosomal RNA
Source: RNAcentral
UGGGGAAUAUUGCACAAUGGGCGAAAGCCUGAUGCAGCAACGCCGCGUGAGGGAAGACGGUUUUCGGAUCGUAAACCUCUGUCCUUGGGGACGAAAGAAAUGACGGUACCCAAGGAGGAAGCCCCGGCUAACUACGUGCCAGCAGCCGCGGUAAUACGUAGGGGGCGAGCGUUGUCCGGAAUGAUUGGGCGUAAAGGGCGCGUAGGCGGCUUGUUAAGUCUGGAGUGAAAUUCCUGCUUUCAAGGUAGGAAGUGCUUUGGAAACUGGCGGGCUGGAGUGCAGGAGAGGUUAGCGGAAUUCCCGGUGUAGCGGUGAAAUGCGUAGAGAUCGGGAGGAACACCAGUGGCGAAGGCGGCUAACUGGACUGUAACUGACGCUGAAGCGCGAAAGUGUGGGGAGCAAACAGG